This 454-nucleotide ribosomal RNA is filed under the name uncultured bacterium. RNAcentral describes it as "partial 16S ribosomal RNA". It matches the Rfam family "Bacterial small subunit ribosomal RNA", at positions 28 to 507 of the family's 1533-position model. The record is from RNAcentral.
GAUGAACGCUGACAGCAUGCUUAACACAUGCAAGUCAACUUGAACUUCGGUUUGGGUGGCGGACGGGUGAGUAACGCGUAAAGAACUUGCCUCACAGCUAGGGACAACAUUUGGAAACGAAUGCUAAUACCUGAUAUUAUGAUUUUAGGGCAUCCUAGAAUUAUGAAAGCUAUAUGCGCUGUGAGAGAGCUUUGCGUCCCAUUAGCUAGUUGGAGAGGUAACGGCUCACCAAGGCGAUGAUGGGUAGCCGGCCUGAGAGGGUGAACGGCCACAAGGGGACUGAGACACGGCCCUUACUCCUACGGGAGGCAGCAGUGGGGAAUAUUGGACAAUGGACCAAGAGUCUGAUCCAGCAAUUCUGUGUGCACGAUGAAGUUUUUCGGAAUGUAAAGUGCUUUCAGUUGGGAAGAAAAAAAUGACGGUACCAACAGAAGAAGUGACGGCUAAAUACGUG